Molecule: long non-coding RNA, 1416 nt
Organism: Molossus molossus (Pallas's mastiff bat)
Lineage: Eukaryota; Metazoa; Chordata; Mammalia; Chiroptera; Molossidae
Exons: 3
Source: RefSeq, a predicted model, not a curated record
CUCAUAGGGUGGAGUCGGAGACUUUAACUUUAGUCUAUAGACUGAUUUUACAUAUUCCUUAGAACUAAUCUAAUUUUUCAAUAACCCACAUCUCCUUUGUGUAAUUAGUUUUGAGUUUCUUUUAUCAACAAUACCUUCCUAUCUUGAAGAAUAGUUUCUAUGAUACGUCGUUAUCCCUAGAACAUGCCUGGCAUAUUGUUGGAAACCAAGACACACGUGAUAAGUGGGUGAAUAAAUAAAAGUCUUAAACGUUGCUGCCAUCCCUACAUCACAGAAUGAAGACUUUUCUUGCGAGGAUGUGGCCCAACAGCUACCAGUCGUGACUCUCAGAGACAGGAAGUGGAGCAUGAGCCACUUCGGCUGACGAGGCAGGUCGAACGCCUUCUACAGAGUAAUGCUGACAGUCCCUUGGAUUGCACACGUCAGCCUUUCUGCUCUAACCUCUCAUCAUCCUAGCUGAUGUCACAUUUGCACUCGAGACUCCGGACUCACAGCAUUGCAUGUUUCCAGAGAUGCAAGAAAUGAGAAAUUCCAAGCUCCCUGUAUUCCCAGAGCUAAUACUAUGGCUCUGAAAAAAAAGGGUGAACAGUAAUGGCUGUCCUACCUACAUCACGGAAAAUGCGAAGACCGAAAGAGAAACAGGAUGCUGUGCCAGGCUACCACGGCAGCACCUCUGAACCCCUGAAUGGCAGCAGCUCAAUGACAUUACUGUUAGCCACUUCACAAGCUACAUGUUUGGAUUUCAAAAGCAGUGGAAAACCAUACAAUGAUAAUCUAAUGGCUAGGUAAUUCUGUUACUUCUCCCUUUAUCCUGAGGCUAGUUGUUCUGGUGAACAUAUUAGAUUCAAGUCAAUGUCAUUUAGUGUCUUCCAAGGAUAAGGCAGGAUGAUAGGCAUUGAAACUCAAACUACAUUCCCUUGGCUCAAAGCAGCAUUUCCGCCCAACUGCUCAGCUGUGUUUAUACCGGCCCUAGAAAACCUGGGAGUGCGGGGCUGCUGCUGAGAUAAAGGAUUUCUUUUGUUUUCCUCUUUACUCACUUUACGUGACCUGAGAGAAAGAACGUGGGGUCUGCCUUCAGCCAACAAAUGCAUUGCUUUGUUUUGUUAGCAUGAACACUGUGUGUAACAUUCAGCUGUAAUGGUAAAGACCGGAUUCUAGAAUCAGCAGACCUGCUAUCAAACUCUUAACCAUUGAAUUAGUUAACAUCAUCCAAUCAGACUGAUUACAUGUGAAAUUAGGUUAAGAAUAGUACCUUUCUCAUAAGAGUGCUGUGAGGAUUAAAAGGGAUAAUGAAUAUAGAAAACUUAGCAUAGUCGACUCAACUGUUAGUCAUUUAAAAAUAGUAAUAAUUACAUUAUUUUUGAACCAGGUGCUAAAGAGGAUACAGAGAGGGUAAAUUGAGACCUCCUAAUGCCA